AUUUAUCCCGGGGAAAUCCAGAAACGCGGUUUGAAAAAAAAAAUCAUGUCAAUUUGUAAUUAUUUCAUUGCUAAACACUGAAGUCAAUGUAUGGGAAUUCUCGAAGAGUGCAAUGAGGAGGAUAUGACUUGACUCUACCAUGGCAAGGGGUAAGAGGAAAGAUCAUAUACAUCCACUUAAGAUCACUGUUCAGUUAAGCUGGGGAACUAAACUGGAAGAGGAUGGAUGCUGUAACGGGGUAUGAAGUUGACGAACAUGGGAUCACUCCUGUGAAUCACAGUCAUUGUCUUGAGGGACAUACCAGCUCAGGAAAAGUGGUUUCCAGUGGGAGAAAGUAUGCGGAGUAUAUGUUGAGGAUUUAG
This 362-nucleotide long non-coding RNA is filed under the name Calidris pugnax (ruff). RNAcentral describes it as "lncRNA (ENSCPUG00000003396.1)". The record is from RNAcentral. Lineage: Eukaryota; Metazoa; Chordata; Aves; Charadriiformes; Scolopacidae.